GAUGAACGCUAGCGGCAGGCCUAACACAUGCAAGUCGAGGGAGAAGCCCUUUCGAGGUCAGAAACCGGCGCACGGGUGCGUAACGCGUAUGCAACCUACCUUUCACAUAGUUAUAGCCCGAAGAAAUUUGGAUUAAUACCCCAUAAUUUUAUUAUAUGGCAUCAUUUUAUAAUUAAAACUGCGUUGGUGAUAGAUGGGCAUGCGUCCUAUUAGCUAGUUGGAGUGGUAACGGCACCCCAAGGCUACGAUAGGUAGGGGUCCUGAGAGGGAGAUACACCACACUGGUACUGAGACAGAGACCAGACUCCUACGGGAGGGAGCAGUGAAGAAUACUAGGGAAUGGUCGGAAGACUGAACAAGCCAUGCCGCGUGAAGGAAGAUUGGCUUAGGGGUUGUAAACUGCUUUUAUAUGAGAAGAAUAAGGCGUACGUGUACGUUGAUGACGGUACCAUAUGAAUAAGCACCGGCUAACUUCGUG
This 478-nucleotide ribosomal RNA is filed under the name uncultured bacterium. RNAcentral describes it as "partial 16S ribosomal RNA". It matches the Rfam family "Bacterial small subunit ribosomal RNA", at positions 28 to 507 of the family's 1533-position model. The record is from RNAcentral.